RNAcentral lists this long non-coding RNA (1269 nucleotides) under Mytilus galloprovincialis (Mediterranean mussel). The record is from RNAcentral. Lineage: Eukaryota; Metazoa; Mollusca; Bivalvia; Mytilida; Mytilidae.
UAGAGACUUGAAGGUAAUAAGUUAUUUCAGAAUUUCAAUCCAGUUGCAUUUAUUAGGUUUUAAAGAAUUCAAUACUUUUCACCAUUUUUUCAUUUGAAAAAUUCUUAUUUACAAUGCAACUAUGAUCUCUUAAAAAAAAUCAGGAUUUGUCAGGAUGAAAAAUCUAGGAAAUAAAGUUAUCUGGCCUUAAAAAUGGAACCCUUCGAGUUUUGAUCUGAAUAGUAUCUUUAUUUCAAGUGCCUUAGUAUUGACCCAUUUCAACGACACAUUUUUUGUUUUUUUAUUUUUUAGUUCCACUGUACAAAGAGAGAUAAUCCCAAAAGGGAGAUAAUCCUGAUUUUUAUGGUAGAAAUUUUAGAUAGACCAAUGUUUGUAAAUAAAUGAUACUUAAUCGUACUGUUGUAAAAUCAAAAUAUCAAAAAAGCAAAAGCCUGACAUAGUGUGUGAGUGUUAUAUGAAGAAUUCAUCUUAUCAUUCUCUAAAGGAUUAUGGGUUAUCUCAUUGUUGGUACACCAAAAUGAAAAUAGUGUUACAUCAUUGGAUGGAUUUCCAAUGUUCAGAAAGUUUUAAACCAAUCACAACAACGUUUUGGUGAACACUUUUAAAAAUAUUACCCAGAAUGCAUUAGAUUCUGAAAGGCAAAUUAUGCUUAAAUUCUUAACACUGAAUAUACACAGAACAUCAAUUCAUAUCAAUUAAGUUUUAUUUUUGUUACUGAUUUUUCAGCUUUAAAACUUUGGUAGGGGUCAUCAGAGGUCAUUUAAAGGGGAUGCUCCUGUAUCUUUGAAAUUUAAAAAGCCUCCCUGUUAUAUCCAGCACCACACUUAUUUCUUAAAGUCCCAACUUUUUUUAAAUUUAAAUUCAAGUACAUUGAUUUUAUUUGGUACAUACCAUACACAUAUAUGUAUGACUGAAAGCAUUGCAAAAUACAUUAUGUAUUUUAUAAGUAUUUUGCAAAAGUUAAAUAAUAAAUUUGUUUUAAAAACCACAAUUCUAAAUGUUAUUUUGAUCUGAAAAAACUUAAAUGGUGCAUUGUGUGGUGUUGGCUGUUUUAAAAACUAUGAAAACAGAGACCAACUCUUUAAAAUUUAUGAACCUUUUAAUUAAAACUGUGGUAAAAUGGGGAGGCAAGUCAAAUUUCUUUCUGAAUUGAACAUUUUUUUAUUUAAAAAGACAAAAAUCAUCAAAAUCAUGACAAAAAUAAAAACUUUGUGAAGUAGAUUAUAAUGUUUUUGUCAAUUAUAUAUAUAAUUUAAGGAGGUACCCAAC